Molecule: long non-coding RNA, 845 nt
Organism: Salvia splendens (bonfire salvia)
Lineage: Eukaryota; Viridiplantae; Streptophyta; Magnoliopsida; Lamiales; Lamiaceae
Exons: 2
Source: RefSeq, a predicted model, not a curated record
GCAAUAUUUACUACAAAUUUCCCAUUCCUGCUCUUGGGAUUUUUUCAAUCAAUUAAUACUCCAUCUCUUCUUCCACCUUUCCCCUUGCAAUUCAACUCAACCACACCCUUUCUCAUCUUUCUAUCUCUCUUCAUCCACCUCUCACCUUAAUUUAUUGAGCAUUAAAGCAAUCCCUCUCUCUCUCUCUCUCUCUAUAUAUAUAUAUAUAUAUAUAUAUAUAUAUAUAUGAUGCUGCUGAUUCUACUCCUAAGACAACUCUUUAAGGCUUAAGGUAGCUAAGCUAGCAGUUGAAAGGGAGUAGUAAAAAGGAUGAAUGUGAAUGGAGCAAAGCUGGAGCUGAAGCUGAACUUGUCUCCACCGAGGAGUUCGCAGAUGACGAGCUCAUGCGCCUCGGUGAACCAGCAGGAUGAGCAGCUCUGCUACUCAACUAGCCCGACAGCGAAGAUGAUGAUGCUGGUGGGAUGCCCUCGGUGUCUAAUGUAUGUGAUGCUGUCGGAGGAGGAUCCCAGGUGCCUCAAAUGCAAGAGCUCUGUUUUGCUCGACAUCAUGCACAGCUCUGCCCCAAAAACCAACAGGAGUUGAUAACUAGUGACCUUAGCACUAGUGGAGGCUUAAUAGUGCUGCUUUUUUUUUUGUUUUGUUUAGUUUUCAUCCAUUUCCAGUAAGUCAUGGCUAUGCAUUAAAAGAAUGAGUCUAGAGCUCUCUUGUAACAAAUUUAAGUAAUUUCUUGCCUGCAUCUUCACUCAUCUUUAUGUGUGUGUGUGUGUGUGUCAAUUCAUCUUGUAAGAAGCUGCUCUGUGUUGAUGAAUGGAACAGUGAGAUAGUCUGGGAGGUUUUGCAGUUUA